CUGGCGGCGUGCCUAACACAUGCAAGUCGAGCGAACCCUUCGGGGGUGAGCGGCGGACGGGUGAGUAACGCGUGGGUAACCUGCCCUGUACACACGGAUAACAUACCGAAAGGUAUGCUAAUACGGGAUAACAUAUGAGAGUCGCAUGGCUUUUGUAUCAAAGCUCCGGCGGUACAGGAUGGACCCGCGUCUGAUUAGCUAGUUGGUAAGGUAACGGCUUACCAAGGCAACGAUCAGUAGCCGACCUGAGAGGGUGAUCGGCCACAUUGGAACUGAGACACGGUCCAAACUCCUACGGGAGGCAGCAGUGGGGAAUAUUGCACAAUGGGCGAAAGCCUGAUGCAGCAACGCCGCGUGAGCGAUGAAGGCCUUCGGGUCGUAAAGCUCUGUCCUCAAGGAAGAUAAUGACGGUACUUGAGGAGGAAGCCCCGGCUAACUACGUGCCAGCAGCCGCGGUAAUACGUAGGGGGCUAGCGUUAUCCGGAAUUACUGGGCGUAAAGGGUGCGUAGGCGGUCUUUCAAGCCAGAAGUGAAAGGCUACGGCUCAACCGUAGUAAGCUUUUGGAACUGUAGGACUUGAGUGCAGGAGAGGAGAGUGGAAUUCCUAGGGUAGCGGUGAAAUGCGUAGAUAUUAGGAGGAACACCAGUAGCGAAGGCGGCUCUCUGGACUGUAACUGACGCUGAGGCACCAAAGCGUGGGGAGCAAACAGGAUUAGAUACCCUGGUAGUCCACGCCGUAAACGAUGAGUACUAGGUGUCGGGGGGUUACCCCCCUCGGUGCCCCCAGCUAACGCAUUAAGUACUCCGCCUGGGGAAGUAC
RNAcentral lists this ribosomal RNA (820 nucleotides) under Clostridium sp. DF2C21. RNAcentral's name for it is "bacterial SSU rRNA". It matches the Rfam family "Bacterial small subunit ribosomal RNA", at positions 36 to 883 of the family's 1533-position model. The record is from RNAcentral. Lineage: Bacteria; Bacillati; Bacillota; Clostridia; Eubacteriales; Clostridiaceae.